UACAGAGGGAGCGAGCGUUAAUCGGAGUUACUGGGCGUAAAACGCACGUAGGUGGCGACGUAAGUCGGGUGUGAAAGCCCCGGGCUCAACCUGGGAAUUGCAUUCGAGACUGCAUUGCUGGAGUACGGAAGAGGAGGGCGGAAUUCCCGGUGUAGCGGUGAAAUGCGUAGAUAUCGGGAGGAACAUCAGUGGCGAAGGCGGCCCUCUGGUCCAGUACUGACACUCAAGUGCGAAAGCGUGGGGAGCAAACAGG
RNAcentral lists this ribosomal RNA (253 nucleotides) under uncultured bacterium. RNAcentral describes it as "partial 16S ribosomal RNA". It matches the Rfam family "Bacterial small subunit ribosomal RNA", at positions 524 to 776 of the family's 1533-position model. The record is from RNAcentral.